GUCAAGUUGUCGGCGUGCCUAUAUAUGCACUCCUGCCGACUCCUUCUUGAGUGAGCGGCGGACGGGUGAGGACACGUGGGUAAUCUGCCCAGUGUACUGGAAUAUCGCCUGUAAACUGGUGCUAUGGUCUGAGUUGCUCUUAAUAGGCCUCUCUUUUGUGGGAAAGAUGCCAUGUCAUCGCCUGUGGAGGAUCCCGCGGCGCAUUAUCUAGUUUGGAUGGGUAACGGCCCACCAAGGCGACGAUGCUUAUCCGACCUGAUAGUGUGAACGGCCUCACUGGGACUGAGACACGGGCCAGACUCCUACGGGAGGCAGCUUUAGGGAAUCUCCUGUCUUGGGCUCUAGCCUGACGGAGCAGCUCCUGCGAAGCUAAGAAGGUCUUCGGUUUGGUAAGCUUAUUUGUUCGGUAAGAGUGGGUGGGAGAGGGAAUGCUCCCAUCGAGUACGGGUCUGGUAUAGGAUUGCACGGCAAACUAGGUGGCAGCUUGCCCGGUAAU
Molecule: ribosomal RNA, 496 nt
Filed under: uncultured bacterium
Lineage: Bacteria
Description: bacterial SSU rRNA
Rfam family: Bacterial small subunit ribosomal RNA
Source: RNAcentral